AUGGAUUCUGAGACACGAAUCCAGACCCUACGGGGUGCAGCAGGCGCGAAAACUUCACACUGCAGGAAACUGUGAUGAGGGAACUCCAAGUGCUAUCACUAUGUGGUAGCUUUUCUUAACUAUUAAUCGGUUUUGGAAUAAGGGCUGGGAAAGACCGGUGCCAGCCGCCGCGGUAAUACCGGCAGCUCAAGUGGUCGUCGCUUUUAUUGGGCCUAAAACGUCCGUAGCCUGUUUGGUAAAUCUGUGGGUAAAUCAACCAGCUUAACUGGUUGAAUUCUGCAGAGACUGCCAGACUAGGGACCGGGAGAGGUGUGGGGUACUCUAGGGGUAGGGGUAAAAUCCUGUCAUCCUUAGAGGACCACCAGUUGCGAAGGCGCCACACUGGAACGGAUCCGACGGUCAGGGACGAAGCCUAGGGGCACGAACCGGAUUAGAUACCCGGGUAGUCCUAGGUGUAAACGCUGUGAACUUGGUGUCGGGGAUCCGUAAUGGGUUCUCGGUGCCGGAGUGAAGAUGUUAAGUUCACUGCCUGGGGAGUACGGUCGCAAGGCUGAAACUUAAAGGAAUUGGCGGGGGAGCACUGCAACGGGAGGAGCGUGCGGUUUAAUUGGAUUCAACGCCGGAAAACUCACCAAGGCCGACUGUUAGAUGAAGAUCAGCGUAAUGAGCUUAUCGGAUUUUCAGAGAGGUGGUGCAUGGCCGUCGUCAGUUCGUACUGUAAAGCGUUCUGUUAAGUCAGAUAACGAACGAGACCCUCAUCUCUAUUUGCUACCCUGUUCUCCGGAACAGGCGCACUAUAGAGAGACCGCUGGUGUGAAACCAGAGGAAGGCGAGGGCAACGACAGGUCAGUAUGCCCCGAAUGUCUUGGGCUACACGCGCGCUACAAAGGACAGGACAAUGGGAUGCUAGGCCGAGA
This 917-nucleotide ribosomal RNA is filed under the name marine metagenome. RNAcentral's name for it is "bacterial SSU rRNA". It matches the Rfam family "Archaeal small subunit ribosomal RNA", at positions 296 to 1216 of the family's 1478-position model. The record is from RNAcentral.